AGCGGACCUCAUAAAGUAUGUCGUAGUCCGGAUUGGAGUCUGCAACUCGACUCCAUGAAGUCGGAAUCGCUAGUAAUCGUAGAUCAGAAUGCUACGGUGAAUACGUUCCCGGGCCUUGUACACACCGCCCGUCACACCAUGGGAGUGGGUUGCAAAAGAAGUAGGUAGCUUAACCUUCGGGAGGGCGCUUACCACUUUGUGAUUCAUGACUGGGGUGAAGUCGUAACAAGGUAACCGUAGGGGAACCUGCGGUUGGAUCACCUCCUUACCUUAAAGAA
This 278-nucleotide ribosomal RNA is filed under the name Klebsiella pneumoniae. RNAcentral's name for it is "partial 16S ribosomal RNA". It matches the Rfam family "Bacterial small subunit ribosomal RNA", at positions 1266 to 1533 of the family's 1533-position model. The record is from RNAcentral. Lineage: Bacteria; Pseudomonadati; Pseudomonadota; Gammaproteobacteria; Enterobacterales; Enterobacteriaceae.